Long non-coding RNA from Dermochelys coriacea (leatherback sea turtle), 161 nucleotides. RefSeq lists it as uncharacterized. The transcript is spliced from 3 exons. Lineage: Eukaryota; Metazoa; Chordata; Testudines; Dermochelyidae. The record is from RefSeq and is a predicted model, not a curated record.
GGAAGGUCUGAUGAUGGCCCCCAUAAGGCUUUAGGGAAAUAUGCUUAUGAAUAUAUAUAUGACAUCACUGGAAUAUGUUUUAUACUACAUAUGCCAUGUAACAUAUCUAUGUAAAGAUUAUGAUCUACUGAAUCUAUUAAUCCUACUUGUACACAUUUAUC